GCAAUCUAACUUGUUGUUUGUGAGUCAGCUCGUAUUUUGACUCUCAUUUAAUAAACAAGACAAACACAAGCUAAGGUUAGCUUGCUUCGAGCAAUAUAUAUAUAUAUAUAUAUAUAUAUAUAUAUAUAUAUAUAUAUAUAUAUAUAUAUAGUGCGGCUAUGGUGCUUGUAAAAGCACCAAGCACUUGGUGCUUGUAGGUUUUUAACCGUUAGAUCAGCACUGUUGAUCAUUUACACCCGUUAGAUUAUGCUAUUCAACCAACCAUCCGCUCAACCCUAGGGGGCCCACAUCAUGCUAACCACAUAUUUCUUAAUCCAAAGACUGAAAACUUACAAGCACCGAUAUCUUAGUACUUUUAAAAGCAUAGGAGCUCAAUUAUAUAUAUAUAUAUAUAUAUCGCCCUUGGAUUAAGGUAAUGUGCGUUGAGAUACUAAUAAUUCUCUAGAAUAAAAUGGGUGGUCAAUUGAAUAGUACGAUCUAAUAUGUGAGAAAAUAGUCAAGGGGGUAUCUAACUUUCUUCUAACUACCGAUUGUCCCUAGAGCAAGUAGCAAAGAGCUUGGUGGUUGGUAUCUAAGGUCCUAAGUUCAAAUCCUAGUUGAUUAACAUUUCCAACUAAGUUUAUUUUUAAAUAAAAUAAACGAAACGGGUAGCACGCUACCUAUCUCUCUCAAAAAAAAAAAAAAACUUUCUUUUAACUUUUUAUCCAGUAGUAAGACUAACAACCGCUCGCAAACUAGCUCGUAUUCGACUUGUUAAUAAAUAAUUUUUUAGCUUGAUAUUUUACUGAACUAGUCCGUGUAC
RNAcentral lists this long non-coding RNA (802 nucleotides) under Ananas comosus (pineapple). RNAcentral describes it as "long non-coding RNA (ACOM_LNC007729)". Lineage: Eukaryota; Viridiplantae; Streptophyta; Magnoliopsida; Poales; Bromeliaceae. The record is from RNAcentral.